UGGUUUCAUAGCUUCAAAACGGACAGAGAGCCACUGACUUCCUGUUCGCUGCUUCUCAUCUCUGUGAGUAUAAGACAUCUCGCUGACAGCCUACAAGGGGAAAAACAAAGCAGAUCAACCAUCUUAUCUUCAGCCCACCUGACAGCAUUGAAGGCAUGGAUAUAUGUUUUAUCCUGGAUGGUAUUCUCAUCCUAUAUGGCAUCAUCCUCACCGUGCUGUACUGCAGACUGAGGAUGCAUCCAUCCAGCAGCUCAUCUGGCAGUUACCCAGAGAAACAACCCGCUGGGGGAGGCAUCUAUGCGGGUCUGACCACCCAAAGUACUGACACCUACGAGACCAUCAGACUGGACAAAAAGCCCAUUGUCUGAAACAACACAGAUUUGGUUCAAUGAGGAUGCUGUUCACAAAAACACAGUGUUACACCUGUUGAAGCUUUAUACUGUAUAAUACGUUGUGUUGUCUUGUAGCGGGCCGGGGCAUAGACUUCCUAUAUGCACAUUUUUCACAUUUACUUUGUAAAAAAUGCUUCCUGUAUUCUUGAACUUUAUAGUGUGCAUGCAUGAGAUGUAAAAUUACUAAAUAAUUUAACUGUUUACUAAUAAAAGCUGUGUCGAUGAGUUUAAA
Pundamilia nyererei is the source of this 624-nucleotide long non-coding RNA. RefSeq lists it as uncharacterized. The record is from RefSeq and is a predicted model, not a curated record. The transcript has 5 exons. Lineage: Eukaryota; Metazoa; Chordata; Actinopteri; Cichliformes; Cichlidae.